This 468-nucleotide ribosomal RNA is filed under the name uncultured bacterium. RNAcentral describes it as "partial 16S ribosomal RNA". It matches the Rfam family "Bacterial small subunit ribosomal RNA", at positions 28 to 507 of the family's 1533-position model. The record is from RNAcentral.
GACGAACGCUGGCGGCGUGCUUAACACAUGCAAGUCGAACGGAAAGGCCCUGCUUUUUUUGGGUGCUCGAGUGGCGAACGGGUGAGUAACACGUGAGUAACCUGCCCUUGACUUUGGGAUAACUUCAGGAAACUGGGGCUAAUACCGGAUAGGAGCUCCUGCUGCAUGGUGGGGGUUGGAAAGUUUCGGCGGUUGGGGAUGGACUCGCGGCUUAUCAGCUUGUUGGUGGGGUAGUGGCUUACCAAGGCUUUGACGGGUAGCCGGCCUGAGAGGGUGACCGGCCACAUUGGGACUGAGAUACGGCCCAGACUCCUACGGGAGGCAGCAGUGGGGAAUAUUGCACAAUGGGCGGAAGCCUGAUGCAGCAACGCCGCGUGCGGGAUGACGGCCUUCGGGUUGUAAACCGCUUUCGCCUGUGACGAAGCGUGAGUGACGGUAAUGGGUAAAGAAGCACCGGCUAACUACGUG